Small nucleolar RNA from Polyodon spathula (Mississippi paddlefish), 212 nucleotides. RefSeq annotates it as small nucleolar RNA U3. The record is from RefSeq and is a predicted model, not a curated record. Lineage: Eukaryota; Metazoa; Chordata; Actinopteri; Acipenseriformes; Polyodontidae. The transcript has a single exon.
AAGCUAAUACUUUUAGAGAUCAUUUUUGUAGUGUUUUAUUAACUAAUGAAAUGCAUUUCUAAAGUGUUUGGAUUCUCUGCCCACGAGGAGAAGUGAGAGUGUUUGUUUGUGAAUGGAAUGGAACAGAGAGAAUUUGUCAAUUUCUUGUUGUUGUUGUUGAUUAUUUCAGACUUCCUUAGGGGGCUGGAGGAAGUGGACACGUUCUGAGCGGG